GAUGGGGUAGCUGUUUAUAUAUAUAUAUAUAUAUAUAUAUAUCCAUCUAAAAUAGGCAGGAGCACUCACUUGUUAAAAGUAAAAAAUUUAUUAGAACAUCUUUAAAAAAGAUCAGCGUUUCAGUCCUGCAUAGAGGACUUUCAUCAGGAUCAUCCAUAUCAACUUUUGAUGCCAGUUUCUGUGCCUACCAUUGUGACCACGGGUAAUGGGGAAUCAGGGUUCCAUUCCAUACAGAAACGGCUACCACAUGCAAGUAGGCAGCAGGUGCGCAAAUGACCCACUCCCGAUGCGGGAAGGUAGUGACGACAAAUAACAAUACAGGACUCUUUAGAAGCCCUGUAAUUGUAAUGAGUCCACUUGAAAUCCUUUAACUCUGAUCAAUUGGAGGGAAGUCUGGUGCAGAGCCACUGACCCAUGCGUGCUGCAGCUGAAACUCCACUAUC
Molecule: non-coding RNA, 443 nt
Organism: Pelobates cultripes (western spadefoot toad)
Lineage: Eukaryota; Metazoa; Chordata; Amphibia; Anura; Pelobatidae
Source: the annotation of a GenBank genome assembly